GACGAACGUUGGCGGCGCGCUUAAUGCAUGCAAGUCGAACGAGAACUGUUGAGUUCGUAAGAACCCGACAGGGACAGUGGCGAACGGGUGCGUAACACGUGAGGAACCUGCCCUGGAGACCGGGAUAGCCCGAGGAAACUCGGAUUAAUACCGGAUACCUUCUCGAGAUCGCAUGAUCUCUUGAAGAAAGGUCCGCUGCUCCAGGAUGGCCUCGCGGCCUAUCAGCUUGUUGGUGAGGUAACGGCUCACCAAGGCAGCGACGGGUAGCUGGUCUGAGAGGACGAUCAGCCACACUGGGACUGAGACACGGCCCAGACUUCUACGGAAGGCAGCAGCAGGGAAUAUUGCACAAUGGGCGAAAGCCUGAUGCAGCGACGCCGCGUGCGGGAUGAAGGCCUUUCGGGUUGUAAACCGCUUUCAGGAGGGACGAAAUUGACGGUACCUCCAGAAGAAGGCCCGGCCAACUACGUGCCAGCAGCCGCGGUAA
This 487-nucleotide ribosomal RNA is filed under the name uncultured bacterium. RNAcentral's name for it is "bacterial SSU rRNA". It matches the Rfam family "Bacterial small subunit ribosomal RNA", at positions 28 to 523 of the family's 1533-position model. The record is from RNAcentral.